RNAcentral lists this ribosomal RNA (73 nucleotides) under Candidatus Moduliflexus flocculans. Its description in RNAcentral is "partial 23S ribosomal RNA". Lineage: Bacteria; Candidatus Moduliflexota; Candidatus Moduliflexia; Candidatus Moduliflexales; Candidatus Moduliflexaceae. The record is from RNAcentral.
CAAGGAACGAAGAGCAUACGAUGGAUGCCUUGGCGCGUUGCGGCGAUGAAGGACGUGGUGAACUGCGAAAAGC